AAUUCUCAACCUUGCAAGCUUUUUUGCUAGUGAGGCUUGGAUGUGAGGGCUUUGCUGGCUUCCUUCAGUUGGAUGGUCUGCUCCCUUUAAAUUCAUUAGUGGAUUCCUUUGUGGAUGGUCACUUGGUGUGAUAAUUAUCUACGCCGCCUGACUCUGAUACAAGACUUGUGGGGACCUGCUUAUAACCGUCUCUUCAAGAGACAAUCUAUAUUGACA
This 216-nucleotide unclassified non-coding RNA is filed under the name uncultured Mycena. Its description in RNAcentral is "sequence contains ITS2". The record is from RNAcentral. Lineage: Eukaryota; Fungi; Basidiomycota; Agaricomycetes; Agaricales; Tricholomataceae.